This 468-nucleotide ribosomal RNA is filed under the name uncultured bacterium. RNAcentral's name for it is "partial 16S ribosomal RNA". It matches the Rfam family "Bacterial small subunit ribosomal RNA", at positions 28 to 507 of the family's 1533-position model. The record is from RNAcentral.
GACGAACGCUGGCGGCGUGCUUAACACAUGCAAGUCGAACGGAAAGGCCCUGCUUUUGUGGGGUGCUCGAGUGGUGAACGGGUGAGUAACACGUGAGUAACCUGCCCUUGACUUUGGGAUAACUUCAGGAAACUGGGGCUAAUACCGGAUAGGAGCUCCUGCUGCAUGGUGGGGGUUGGAAAGUUUCGGCGGUUGGGGAUGGACUCGCGGCUUAUGAGCUUGUUGGUGGGGUAGUGGCUUACCAAGGCUUUGACGGGUAGCCGGCCUGAGAGGGUGACCGGCCACACUGGGACUGAGAUACGGCCCAGACUCGUACCGGACGCAGCAGUGGGGAAUAUUGCACAAUGGGCGGAAGCCUGAUGCAGCAACGCCGCGUGCGGGAUGACGGCCUUCGGGUUGUAAACCGAUUUCGCCUGUGACGAAGCGUGAGUGACGGUACUGGGUAAAGAAGCACCGGCUAACUACGUG